GGGGUUGUGGCUCAGAGGUAGAGAGCACUUGCCUAGCAUGCGUGAGGCACUGAGUUUGAUCCUCAGCACCACA
This 73-nucleotide transfer RNA is filed under the name Marmota monax (woodchuck). Its description in RNAcentral is "tRNA.Ala". It matches the Rfam family "tRNA". Rfam says of the family: Transfer RNA (tRNA) molecules are approximately 80 nucleotides in length. The record is from RNAcentral. Lineage: Eukaryota; Metazoa; Chordata; Mammalia; Rodentia; Sciuridae.